This 103-nucleotide microRNA precursor is filed under the name Marmota monax (woodchuck). Lineage: Eukaryota; Metazoa; Chordata; Mammalia; Rodentia; Sciuridae. The record is from RNAcentral.
AAUGGAAUAGCUGGGUCAGAUGAUGGCUCCAUUCCCAGUUUUCCAAGGAAUGUCCAUACUGCUUUCCAGAUUGGUUUCAUGAAUUUGCAGUCCCACAAGCAAU